Molecule: long non-coding RNA, 423 nt
Organism: Myiozetetes cayanensis
Lineage: Eukaryota; Metazoa; Chordata; Aves; Passeriformes; Tyrannidae
Exons: 3
Source: RefSeq, a predicted model, not a curated record
CCCUGUGCGUGAGGGAAGUACCACUCGAAUGAACUAAAUUAGGGGAUUUGAUUUCCCAGGCAACAACACAGUUUACUACGCUGCUAAAAUUAAUUAUACCUGUGCUGAUAAUACACAUUUUGGAUUAUUGUUCAGCUGGAUUGGUUCCCUGGGGCAGUUCACCGAGCAGCCACCCAUGGCACUGCACAACAUUCCCAAGUGUCAGUGGAGAGGAUGACGGGGUUACGGUGACGUGGUGGAGAGGAAUGAAGAAGCUGGACAGGUAUCCCUGCUGCUACUGUGCCACCUUGGCUGUGCUCUUCAGCACAGCACUGGUCUAAGGGACAUUUGGCCCUGCUGAUCCUUUCUGCUCAGAGGCAGUCAAAUGGCAGCUUCAAUGAAACCAGCACAACUGAUUGUUGGCUGAAGCAAAAACAACCCAGG